CUCAGGGGUAAAGAAUCUGUCUACAAUGCAGGAGCCACAGGAGAUGCAGGUUAGAUCCCUGGGGCAAGGAAGAUUCCCUGGAGGAAGGCAUGGCAACCCACUCCAGUACUGUUGCCUAGAGAAUCUUACGGACAAAGGAGUGCGGUGGGUUACAGUCUACAGGGUCACAAAGCAUCGGACACGACUGAAGUGUCUUCUCAUCACGUCUUAAUGUGGACCUCCUCGGGUUCCUCUUGUUUGGUGCUUUCUAUGCCCCUGGAGCCAUCUAUUUUCUUCUCUAAUUUAGGAAAGUUGUCAGGUACGUUGGUUUCAUUUUCUGCAAUUGGAGAAGGUGCACUAUUAGGCGCAGCUGCACACUAGCCUCUGGUCACCAGAGCCAUUCUACGUGGGCGCCAUCUGCAGUUCUGAUUUUGUGGGGCCAGUUACUCUGGCUAUCCUGAGAAGCUGCCUGGGCUCCACCCCCUGCUCUCUGUCCCUUCCAUUCAGCUUCCAGUUUCUGCCUUGAAUGGGCUCACUCGGGUAUGUUUUCCCCUCCACUUCCACCACCAACAAGCUACCUCUCAAUGUGUCUCCCAGUCUAACCCCCACCAAGAGGAAGACUGGGAAUCAGUGUUACUAUGAAGGAAGACUCUGACUUCACCCCUCCUCAGAAGCCCCCAGACACCCUGAAGUUAGACGUCCAACUGAUACAUCACAGUGGCCAAGACCACAGUCAGUUGGUGAUCCUUAAUCCAGGAAAUGGACCUAGACUCAUUAAGUUCAGAAGCGGUAUGGCUUCAGUAAACUUUUGUCAGUUGUUCUUAGAACCUAACCCAUCUACAAGGCAUGUGAGUGUCUUCAAGAUCUGUUCUUUGCCUACCUUUACUGCUAAGAUUAUCUCUAGCCUCAUACUUUGUGUAUGGAAAAAUUCCAAACUUAUAGAAGAAUCAAACAAGUAUCACAAUAUACAUGUACC
Molecule: long non-coding RNA, 955 nt
Filed under: Capra hircus (goat)
Lineage: Eukaryota; Metazoa; Chordata; Mammalia; Artiodactyla; Bovidae
Description: lncRNA (ENSCHIG00000001153.1)
Source: RNAcentral